AGUCACUGACAUUAGAUACCCCCGUAGUCCAGGGUGUAAACGCUGCAGACUUGGUGUUGGAGGCCCUUUGGGGGCAUUCAGUGCCGGAGAGAAGUUGUUAAGUCUGCUACUUGGGGAGUACGUCCGCAAAGAUGAAACUUAAAGGAAUUGGCGGGGGAGCACCGCAACGGGAGGAGCGUGCGGUUUAAUUGGAUUCAACACCGUAAACUCACCAGGGAAGACUGUUACAUGAAGGCCGAGAUGAAGACUCUGCUAGAUUUUCAG
This 264-nucleotide ribosomal RNA is filed under the name uncultured archaeon. RNAcentral describes it as "partial 16S ribosomal RNA". It matches the Rfam family "Archaeal small subunit ribosomal RNA", at positions 718 to 982 of the family's 1478-position model. The record is from RNAcentral.